GACGUAGGGGGCCAGCGUUGUUCGGAAUUACUGGGUGUAAAGGGUUCGUAGGCGGUGCGGCAAGUCGGGAGUGAAAUCUCUGGGCUUAACCCAGAGGCUGCUUCCGAAACUGCUGUGCUUGAGUGUGGGAGAGGCGCGUGGAAUUGCAGGUGUAGCGGUGAAAUGCGUAGAUAUCAGGAGGAACACCGGCGGCGAAGGCGGCUCACUGGACCGGAACUGACGCUGAUGCGCGAAAGCGUGGGGAGCAAACGGG
RNAcentral lists this ribosomal RNA (253 nucleotides) under uncultured bacterium. RNAcentral describes it as "partial 16S ribosomal RNA". It matches the Rfam family "Bacterial small subunit ribosomal RNA", at positions 524 to 776 of the family's 1533-position model. The record is from RNAcentral.